GAUGAACGCUGGCGGCGUGCUUAACACAUGCAAGUCGAACGAAGAUGCCGGAGUGCUUGCACUUUGGCAGACUGAGUGGCGGACGGGUGAGUAACGCGUGGGUAACCUGCCUUAUACAGGGGGAUAACAGUUGGAAACGACUGCUAAUACCGCAUAAGCGCACGGUAUCGCAUGAUACAGUGUGAAAAACUCCGGUGGUAUAAGAUGGACCCGCGUCUGAUUAGCUUGUUGGUGAGGUAACGGCCCACCAAGGCGACGAUCAGUAGCCGGCCUGAGAGGGUGAACGGCCACAUUGGGACUGAGACACGGGCCCAAACUCCUACGGGAGCAGCAGUGGGGAAUA
This 343-nucleotide ribosomal RNA is filed under the name uncultured bacterium. RNAcentral describes it as "bacterial SSU rRNA". It matches the Rfam family "Bacterial small subunit ribosomal RNA", at positions 28 to 363 of the family's 1533-position model. The record is from RNAcentral.